GAUGAACGCUGGCGGCGUGCCUAAUACAUGCAAGUUGAGCGAACGGACGAGAAGCUUGCUUCUCUGAUGUUAGCGGCGGACGGGUGAGUAACACGUGGAUAACCUACCUAUAAGACUGGGAUAACUUCGGGAAACCGGAGCUAAUACCGGAUGAUAUUUUGAACCGCAUGGUUCAAAAGUGAAAGACGGUCUUGCUGUCACUUAUAGAUGGAUCCGCGCUGCAUUAGCUAGUUGGUAAGGUAACGGCUUACCAAGGCAACGAUGCAUAGCCGACCUGAGAGGGUGAUCGGCCACACUGGAACUGAGACACGGUCCAGACUCCUACGGGAGGCAGCAGUAGGGAAUCUUCCGCAAUGGGCGAAAGCCUGACGGAGCAACGCCGCGUGAGUGAUGAAGGUCUUCGGAUCGUAAAACUCUGUUAUUAGGGAAGAACAUAUGUGUAAGUAACUGUGCACAUCUUGACGGCACCUAAUCAGAAAGCCACGGCUAACUACGUG
This 497-nucleotide ribosomal RNA is filed under the name uncultured bacterium. Its description in RNAcentral is "partial 16S ribosomal RNA". It matches the Rfam family "Bacterial small subunit ribosomal RNA", at positions 28 to 507 of the family's 1533-position model. The record is from RNAcentral.